CCUGUGUUGCUUACCCGUGGAAAGGAAUUCGAUGGCUUUGGUGUCCCCAUCCMCCUUGCACCCCCAAAAGGUGCGGGGCGGACGUGAGGYAGGCUCUAUGUUCCUCGCGUGCCGGGUGCAUUGGCGCUCGGCCGCUGUGGCCCAUGGGGUCUCGGCCCGUUCUCUCGGAUGCGGAAUGUUGUGUGUGCGGGCGUGGGGGUCUCGACCUCUUCUCGUCCGAGUGGCACUUCGCAUUGUCCCUUGAUGCAGAYGACUGCCUCGCCCGUCUUGACCGACCGAUCGGGUCCCCGUCGCGGGAUUCGGGAAGGGCGGCUCAUGCGGGAGCUGGCGUCGGAUAGGAAUGC
RNAcentral lists this unclassified non-coding RNA (344 nucleotides) under Zanthoxylum chalybeum. RNAcentral's name for it is "partial external transcribed spacer". The record is from RNAcentral. Lineage: Eukaryota; Viridiplantae; Streptophyta; Magnoliopsida; Sapindales; Rutaceae.